Malassezia sympodialis ATCC 42132 is the source of this 86-nucleotide non-coding RNA. The record is from Rfam. NCBI's taxonomy places the organism in Eukaryota, Fungi, Basidiomycota, Malasseziomycetes, Malasseziales, Malasseziaceae.
GGGCCGUUAGUUCAGUUGGUAGAAUGCGUCUCUCCUACUUUAGGGAUUCAAAGAUGAGGUCCUGGGUUCGAGCCCCAGGCGGCCCU